AUGAGUUAGCGCGUGUCCAGAUGAACAUUUCAGGGAUCCCGGUGCCGCGGAAAAUCUAAAGGGGCAGGAGAGGCGGUCAUGCAGCAGCAAUCGACACCGGGUGUGCUCUCCCCACCCCAACACCGGCUCUUUUAUGGCUGGUGGAUCGUCAUCAUCGGAUGCAUCCAGGACGCGGUGAAGGGAGGCCUGUUUAAUACAGGUUUUAGCCUGUAUUUUCUCCCGGUGCUCAACGAACUGCAGCUGAGUCGAGCGGCGACGUCUCUGCCGUUCUCGUUGGCGAAACUCGAGUCCGCCCUGAUUGGCCCGAUUG
RNAcentral lists this unclassified non-coding RNA (310 nucleotides) under uncultured bacterium. RNAcentral describes it as "contains 16S-23S intergenic spacer region". The record is from RNAcentral.